Molecule: ribosomal RNA, 254 nt
Filed under: uncultured bacterium
Lineage: Bacteria
Description: partial 16S ribosomal RNA
Rfam family: Bacterial small subunit ribosomal RNA
Source: RNAcentral
UACGUAGGGUGCAAGCGUUAAUCGGAAUUACUGGGCGUAAAGCGUGCGCAGGCGGCUAUGCAAGACAGAUGUGAAAUCCCCGGGCUCAACCUGGGAACUGCAUUUGUGACUGCAUGGCUAGAGUGCGGCAGAGGGGGAUGGAAUUCCGCGUGUAGCAGUGAAAUGCGUAGAUAUGCGGAGGAACACCGAUGGCGAAGGCAAUCCCCUGGGCCUGCACUGACGCUCAUGCACGAAAGCGUGGGGGAGCAAACAGG